Molecule: microRNA precursor, 181 nt
Filed under: Oryza meridionalis
Lineage: Eukaryota; Viridiplantae; Streptophyta; Magnoliopsida; Poales; Poaceae
Description: MIR812 microRNA precursor family
Rfam family: MIR812 microRNA precursor family
Source: Rfam by way of RNAcentral
AAUAAGUGCAGUUUUACACUAUUCACGUCUUAUUUGAAAUUUUUUCAUUAUUAGUAUUUUUAUUGCUAUUAGAUGAUAAAAUAUGAAUAUCACUUUAUGUGUGAUUAAAUAUUUUUCACAGAUUUUUCAAAUACAACGGACGGUUAAACAUUGGGCACGGAUAUUCAUAGCUGCACUUAUU